Molecule: transfer RNA, 76 nt
Filed under: bacterium
Lineage: Bacteria
Description: tRNA-Glu
Rfam family: tRNA
About the family: Transfer RNA (tRNA) molecules are approximately 80 nucleotides in length. Their secondary structure includes four short double-helical elements and three loops (D, anti-codon, and T loops). Further hydrogen bonds mediate the characteristic L-shaped molecular structure. tRNAs have two regions of fundamental functional importance: the anti-codon, which is responsible for specific mRNA codon recognition, and the 3' end, to which the tRNAs corresponding amino acid is attached (by aminoacyl-tRNA synthetases). tRNAs cope with the degeneracy of the genetic code in two manners: having more than one tRNA (with a specific anti-codon) for a particular amino acid; and 'wobble' base-pairing, i.e. permitting non-standard base-pairing at the 3rd anti-codon position.
Source: RNAcentral
GGCCUUAUCGUCUAGUGGCCUAGGACUCAUGAUUCUCAAUCAUGUAACCGGGGUUCGAUUCCCCGUAAGGCCGCCA